GAAAAUGGGAAAAGAAUUGCAAGAAAACGCAGGAAGCAUUGUUGUGUUGAUGGAGGUGUGGCUGCAUCAAGCAAAAGAAUGUUGACUGGCCAUAUGACAUACAGGAUAGACAUAUUUGAUGGUGAAUUGAAGAUUGAGAAAAGGGAGAUGGAUGUGGCAGAUAAAAAUGGAUUUAAAUUACAUUAGGUGAUGUUAUCUUGUAUCAACAUGAUAUGGUGAAAGAAAGUUGGCGC
Long non-coding RNA from Eufriesea mexicana, 233 nucleotides. RefSeq lists it as uncharacterized. NCBI's taxonomy places the organism in Eukaryota, Metazoa, Arthropoda, Insecta, Hymenoptera, Apidae. The record is from RefSeq and is a predicted model, not a curated record. The transcript is spliced from 3 exons.